RNAcentral lists this long non-coding RNA (2370 nucleotides) under Nicotiana tabacum (common tobacco). RNAcentral describes it as "long non-coding RNA (NTAB_LNC000726)". Lineage: Eukaryota; Viridiplantae; Streptophyta; Magnoliopsida; Solanales; Solanaceae. The record is from RNAcentral.
UAAUAAUCAACUAAAAACAAAAGUGCACAUUGUAAAUGAAAGAAAUGCAACAAAAGCAUCACUAACUAAAACAAACUAGUGCUCCAUUUCUUAUUAAACAGGCAGUGGAAAAGCUCCACUGCCAUAUUACAGAUUACAGGCAAGACAGAGCAUAUUGUCAUGCCUUUGUUUCAUACAUAGACUACAUAUUAUUCGUUAGGACUUAGGAAACAGCAACCUUAGACUUCUGGAGAUCAUUCUCAACUUCACGAACAUAUUCAUCCACUUUGCUGGCAUAUUCAGAUUCUCCUUCACAAAUAAAAGUUCCAUCAUCACUAAAGUACUUACAGCCCUUUUUACCUGCGCAACAAUUGGUGCAUAUCCGAUCAUUCUUCUUUUCUUCUGAAAGUGGGCAAAUCCCAUAGGCAAUUCUUCCAUCACAAUUCCGAGGACAGGCUUUUGGAUUUCUAGGAUCAGACUCUCCUUCACAAACAAAAGUUCCAUCAUCACUAAAGUACUUACAACCCUUUUUGCCUGCACAACAGUUAGUACAUANNNNNNNNNNNNNNNNNNNNNNNNNNNNNNNNNNNNNNNNNNNNNNNNNNNNNNNNNNNNNNNNNNNNNNNNNNNNNNNNUUNNUGCCUGCGCAACAGUUGGUGCAUAUCCGAUCAUUCUUUUUUUCUUCUGAAAGUGGGCAAAUCCCAUAGGCAAUUCUUGGAUCGCAAUUCCGAGGACAAGCCUUCGGAUUUCUAGGAUCAGACUCUCCUUCACAAACAAAAGUUCCAUCAUCACUAAAGUACUUACAUCCCUUCGUGCCUGCGCAACAGUUGGUGCAUAUCCGAUCAUUCUUCUUUUCUUCUGAACGCGGGCAAACUCCAUAGGCAAUUCUUGGAUCACAAUUUAAGGGACAAGCCUUGGCAUCUGCAUGUUCCACAUUGCUUACAAGCAGAGACAUUCCUAUAACAUAGCCACAUUAAUUACCUUAUGAGUGUUGAACAAUGGAUUCAAGUAAUUGGUUAAGAGAGAAACUUAAAGAAAGGGAAAUACAUAAAAUCCUCCUUAAAUUACGUAGAAGUCUUAUUAUCCUCGUGAACUCGUUUGAAGUGAUAUUAUUACCUCCAUAUAACGCCCAGACAGUGGCAAAUUCAGAUGGGAGAAAUUCAAAAAUAGUUAGAUUUACAGGUGGUCAUUCAAAAAUAAUCAUAAUUUCAAAAGUAAUCGAAAUUUAGUCAUUUUUCAUGUAAAGAUAAAUAUGAACGGAAACACUGUUCAAAAUCAAAAAAUAAGUCCAGUAUAAUAUACUGGAAUUCAAGUAUAAUAUAGUGAAACUCCAGUAUAUUCUAGCACAAGUAUACUGGAAUUCCAGUAUAAUAUACUAGAGAUCCAGUAUAAUUACCGGUCCAGCAUAAUAUACUGGAGAUUGAAGCAGUAUAUUACACUGAAACUUUUAACGUAUUGGAGUUCCAACAUAAUAUGUUGGAAGUUCAUACAUAGGUGCACCGAUCUCCAGUAUAUUAUAUUGGAACUUUCUGUAUUGCAGCAAAAUAAUGACUAUUUAUCAAUGACUAUUUAUCAAUGACUUUGUAAACGCUGACUAUUUUUGAAUGACCAGUCCGAAAACUGGCUAGCCCGUACUAUUUUUACAAUUUAGAUGAACAUUUGUGGGUGCUUGUGCACCCAUUACUUUUGACUAAAUAUAGUAAAUUUGCUUAGAUAAUUAUAAAAAUAUUUAAAUAAAUAUUAAGUGACCCAUAAUUAAACUCCUUUUUCCUCUCCUUUCGGAUUUUUUACACGCGAGCACUUAACGAGAGUGAUGAGAAAAUAUGUUUGAAAUUUUAUCUUUUUCAUUAAUUCUUUUGUUUAAUUUUUUCGCUUCUUAAAGUCUUUUUCUUUCAUUUUUCUUUAUAAUCAUUUAUUUUCUCCAUCCUUAUUCAUAUACCUCCCACAGUGCACACACAGAACAUAUCCUCAGGGGCAUAAACACACAAAGUCACCAACGCUCAAUUAGUCUCCAGCGAAAGAGGUGAAGGAGAAACCAAAAAGUAAAAGAAAAAAGAAUAAAAUAAGGUUAAAAAUCAACAACAAAAAAAAGAAAAAUUAAAGAUCAAAAGUUUUUUUUAAUGAAAAUGACAUGUGGCACAACAAAAUUGGUGCAUGACGAUUACCAUCUUUCUUAAAACUAGGUUAGCCAAGAAAGAAAAUAGUAAUAUCACUUUAAUCGACUUCAGGGUAAUAGGACUCUCGCAAAGGUUAGUAACAAACUAAAGUAGACAAAUUCGAGGGGAUUUUAUGUAUUUUCCCUUAAAGAAAGCUGAAAAGAAGAGCCUUACCAAGUAAGAGGAGGAGAGCAAGGAAACUAACUCUGUGAACAGCCAUACUUACUAUCUCCUU